RNAcentral lists this ribosomal RNA (402 nucleotides) under uncultured Methanosaeta sp. RNAcentral's name for it is "bacterial SSU rRNA". It matches the Rfam family "Archaeal small subunit ribosomal RNA", at positions 937 to 1338 of the family's 1478-position model. The record is from RNAcentral. Lineage: Archaea; Methanobacteriati; Methanobacteriota; Methanomicrobia; Methanotrichales; Methanotrichaceae.
CGACAGCAAUAUGAAGGUCAGGCUGAAGACCUUACCCGAUUAGCUGAGAGGUGGUGCAUGGCCGUCGUCAGUUCGUACUGUGAAGCAUCCUGUUAAGUCAGGCAACGAGCGAGACCCACGUCCACAGUUGCCAGCAUACCCUCCGGGGUGAUGGGUACACUGUGGAGACCGCCGCUGCUAAAGCGGGGGAAGGAGUGGGCAACGGUAGGUCAGUAUGCCCCGAAUCUCCCGGGCUACACGCGGGCUACAAUGGUUGGUACAAUGGGCAUCUACCCCGAAAGGGGAAGGAAAUCUCUUAAAGCCAAUCGUAGUUCGGAUUGAGGGCUGCAACUCGCCCUCAUGAAGCUGGAAUCCGUAGUAAUCGCGUUUCAACAGAACGCGGUGAAUACGUCCCUGCUCCUU